This 468-nucleotide ribosomal RNA is filed under the name uncultured bacterium. RNAcentral describes it as "partial 16S ribosomal RNA". It matches the Rfam family "Bacterial small subunit ribosomal RNA", at positions 28 to 507 of the family's 1533-position model. The record is from RNAcentral.
GACGAACGCUGGCGGCGUGCUUAACACAUGCAAGUCGAACGGAAAGGCCCUGCUUUUGUGGGGUGCUCGAGUGGCGAACGGGUGAGUAACACGUGAGUAACCUGCCCUUGACUUUGGGAUAACUUCAGGAAACUGGGGCUAAUACCGGAUAGGAGCUCCUGCUGCAUGGUGGGGGUUGGAAAGUUUCGGCGGUUGGGGAUGGACUCGCGGCUUAUCAGCUUGUUGGUGGGGUAGUGGCUUACCAAGGCUUUGACGGGUAGCCGGCCUGAGAGGGUGACCGGCGACGUUGGGACUGAGAUACGGCCCAGACUCCGACGGGAGGCAGCAGUGGGGAAUAUUGCAGAAUGGGCGGAAGCCUGAUGCAGCAACGCCGGGUGCGGGAUGACGGCCUUCGGGUUGUAAACCGCUUUCGCCUGUGACGAAGCGUGAGUGGCGGUAAUGGGUAAAGAAGCACCGGCUAACUACGUG